RNAcentral lists this small RNA (632 nucleotides) under Alkalihalophilus pseudofirmus OF4. The record is from RNAcentral. Lineage: Bacteria; Bacillati; Bacillota; Bacilli; Caryophanales; Bacillaceae.
CUUAUGUAUACGAAGAGUGGUGCAGUAUUCUAGUCAGUCCUCCGUUUUUGAAGGCGGGGCUAAAAAUCCGCCAAAGGGCACAUCGAUGAAGCUCCUUGUCUUGGCUUGAGGCGCCCAGCCUUGGGUCUUGACUGGGAGAAAAGGUAGUAGGGCGAUCCACAAAGGCAUGUGGGCGAUGACCCUACUACUGUGGAGGCCUUUUGCAGAAACGGUAUGUAUUAGAUGCCGUUUUAUGCAAAAGGUAUGAACCUGCAUAGGCAAACUAGGGAGUUUGUCUGCAGCGUAGCCUGCCUUGAGUGGAGUUAGAGGGGAUUAUGGAUAUGUGUUCGCCUCAUUGUCGGCCAACAAUGAGACGUUCUUACCAUAUGAAAUCUGCUCUGCAAAAGAGGAUAAAAGAAUGGCUCGGGACUGUUGAGGAAAUCUCCUAGACUGUUCAAUUGAGUUGCAGUUGACAUCUAUUGAGGAUUACAGUGUAGACUAAGUGGUAAUCCAGUCUGACGUUUGGUGACAGCGUCAAAUUUGGUAUAAUGGGAAACCACCAUUGCGGCGACGCGUGGGACUGAAUUGGGAAAACCUACUGGACCUAAGCUACAGAGUUUACUCUUUAGAUGACCACUCCAUUAAUUUUUAUG